Molecule: signal recognition particle RNA, 96 nt
Filed under: Candidatus Gastranaerophilales bacterium HUM_20
Lineage: Bacteria; Bacillati; Candidatus Melainabacteria; Candidatus Gastranaerophilales
Description: signal recognition particle sRNA small type
Rfam family: Bacterial small signal recognition particle RNA
About the family: The signal recognition particle (SRP) is a universally conserved ribonucleoprotein involved in the co-translational targeting of proteins to membranes. Archaeal SRP consists of a 7S RNA and homologues of the eukaryotic SRP19 and SRP54 proteins.
Source: RNAcentral
GUUUAAGGAUAUGAUGGCGUAAGCUGUCGAACCGUGUCAGGAUGGAAACAUAGCAGCACUAAGACAAUCCUUGCGGGUGUUGUAUUCUUAAAAAGA